GUCUUCUUGUUAUGUUUAGGAAGUCUGGCCUGCCCAGUGAAAAUAUUUUAACGGCCGCGGUAUCUUGACCGUGCAAAGGUAGCAUAAUCAUUAGUCUUUUAAUAGAGGGCUGGUAUGAAGGGUUUAACGAGGUGUUGACUGUCUCAUUUAAUUUGAAUUUAGAAUUUAAUUUUUUAGUUAAAAAGCUAAAAUAUUAUUGGAAGACGAGAAGACCCUAUAGAGCUUUAUAUUUUUAUUAUUAAUUUAUUUUAGCUUAUUAUUAUUUAUUAUUAAUAGGAAGUAUUAUGUUGGGGUGACAAGAAUAUAUAAAUAACUUUUUUAUCAUAUUUACAUUGAUAUAUGAAUAUUAGAUCCAAUCUUAUUGAUUGUUAGAUUAAGUUACCUUAGGGAUAACAGCGUAAUCCCUCUCCAGAGUUCAUAUUUACAGAGGGGCUUGCGACCUCGAUGUUGGAUUAAGAUAAUAAUUAGGUGCAGCCGCUUAAUUAAUAGGUCUGUUCGACCUUUAAAUUCUU
This 512-nucleotide ribosomal RNA is filed under the name Anaciaeschna donaldi. RNAcentral's name for it is "partial 16S ribosomal RNA". It matches the Rfam family "Archaeal large subunit ribosomal RNA", at positions 1921 to 2666 of the family's 2987-position model. Lineage: Eukaryota; Metazoa; Arthropoda; Insecta; Odonata; Aeshnidae. The record is from RNAcentral.